Molecule: ribosomal RNA, 252 nt
Filed under: uncultured prokaryote
Description: partial 16S ribosomal RNA
Rfam family: Bacterial small subunit ribosomal RNA
Source: RNAcentral
ACAGAGGGUGCGAGCGUUAAUCGGAUUUACUGGGCGUAAAGCGCGUGCAGGCGGUGCGAUAAGUCGUGCGUGAAAGCGCCCAGGCUUAACCGGGAGAGGACGUGCGAGACUGUCGGACUAGAGGCAGGUAGAGGCAAGUGGAAUUCCGGGUGUAGUGGUGAAAUGCGUAGAGAUCCGGAGGAACCCCGGUGGCGAAGGCGACUUGCUGGGCCUGAACUGACGCUCAGACGCGAAAGCACGGGGAGCAAACGG